GAUAAGAAAGCUUUAGAUACCGUUGUUACUUUAAGUUUUCGGACACCCUUUUUUAGCAUUUUUUUUCGUAACUUAAUUUUCGGACAUACGGGUUUUCGUGCAUAAUUAAUGUCUCUUAAUUUUCGGACAGUAUAUUUGUCAUUGCUAUUCUACAGACUUCAGCCCUGUUUUUUCGCUUAUCUUGCGACACUUCGAUAAUUGAUAUUUACAACGGGAUACAGAUAUUAAAACCUGACAGAAGCAUGCCUGAUGACUACAGACCAUUACAUUCGUGUAAUUUGGUAAAUAACCAUUUAUACCGGUAGAAAUAAUUGGAUUCACCCAACAGCAUUUGAAACAGUUUCGUCCUAUUGAGGAGGUUAAAUGUUAUUUGUUUUUACUAUUUCGUUCUAUUUCAUUUCAGGCGAGAGUUAGCAAAGUUGUGAAGUUUCUUUAAAGCAGAAAAGAAAGAGCACGUGCAGAGCAGACAGGCCGCGAGGAUGAGCCAAUCUGACUUCCGGUAUGACUCGUGGGACCACAUGGCCGACCGCUCCUAGCUCCUGACUUCCUAGAGGGCUACUUCAGCGGACUUCAAUAAUUUCGUACAGAACGCCAUGAUUACACCUCUUUGUGUUUUAUAAUUCCAUGUCCAUGUAUAUUAUUUAAAUAUAGUGUUUGAACACUGUCCGCAACACACAUUGGCCGAUGAUGUUUGAACACUGUCCGCAACACACAUUGGCCGAUGAUGUUUGAACACUGUCCGCAACACACAUUGGCCGAUGAUGUUUGAACACUGUCCGCAACACACAUUGGCCGAUGAUGUUUGAACACUGUCCGCAACACACAUUGGCCGAUGAUGUUUGAACACUGUCCGCAACACACAUUGGCCGAUGAUGUUUGAACACUGUCCGCAACACACAUUGGCCGAUGAUGUUUGAACACUGUCCGCAACACACAUUGGCCGAUGAUGUUUGAACACUGUCCGCAACACACAUUGGCCGAUGAUGUUUGAACACUGUCCGCAACACACAUUGGCCGAUGAUGUUUGAACACUGUCCGCAACACACAUUGGCCGAUGAUGUUUGAACACUGUCCGCAACACACAUUGGCCGAUGAUGUUUGAACACUGUCCGCAACACACAUUGGCCGAUGAUGUUUGAACACUGUCCGCAACACACAUUGGCCGAUGAUGUUUGAACACUGUCCGCAACACACAUUGGCCGAUGAUGUUUGAACACUGUCCGCAACACACAUUGGCCGAUGAUGUUUGAACACUGUCCGCAACACACAUUGGCCGAUGAUGUUUGAACACUGUCCGCAACACACAUUGGCCGAUGAUGCUUCUUGGAUAAACGAAAUGAAAACAAAAGGUCAGUCCAGUACGACCAUUUUACAGAAAUAUCAACUCUGAUCGAGUUUGUCCAAUUAAGGUCUUUGUGACCUUCGUUGUUAAUUAUUCAUGACUGUUUACCUUUAACGCUUAAACAAUAACAUUAAAUAUUCAGUGAA
Molecule: long non-coding RNA, 1488 nt
Organism: Dreissena polymorpha
Lineage: Eukaryota; Metazoa; Mollusca; Bivalvia; Myida; Dreissenidae
Exons: 2
Source: RefSeq, a predicted model, not a curated record